UGGGGAAUUUUGGACAAUGGGCGAAAGCCUGAUCCAGCAAUGCCGCGUGUGUGAAGAAGGCCUUCGGGUUGUAAAGCACUUUUGUCCGGAAAGAAAUCCUUGGCUCUAAUGCAGUCGGGGGAUGACGGUACCGGAAGAAUAAGCACCGGCUAACUACGUGCCAGCAGCCGCGGUAAUACGUAGGGUGCAAGCGUUAAUCGGAAUUACUGGGCGUAAAGCGUGCGCAGGCGGUUUGCUAAGACCGAUGUGAAAUCCCCGGGCUCAACCUGGGAACUGCAUUGGUGACUGGCAGGCUAGAGUAUGGCAGAGGGGGGUAGAAUUCCACGUGUAGCAGUGAAAUGCGUAGAGAUGUGGAGGAAUACCGAUGGCGAAGACAGCCCCCUGGGCCAAUACUGACGCUCAUGCACGAAAGCGUGGGGAGCAAACAGGAUUNGAUACCCUGGUAGUCACGCCCUAAACGAUGUCACUAGUUGUUGGGGAUCAUUUCCUUAGUAACGUAGCUAACGCGUGAAGUUGACCGCCUGGGGAGUAC
RNAcentral lists this ribosomal RNA (532 nucleotides) under uncultured bacterium. Its description in RNAcentral is "partial 16S ribosomal RNA". It matches the Rfam family "Bacterial small subunit ribosomal RNA", at positions 355 to 883 of the family's 1533-position model. The record is from RNAcentral.